RNAcentral lists this ribosomal RNA (497 nucleotides) under uncultured bacterium. RNAcentral describes it as "partial 16S ribosomal RNA". It matches the Rfam family "Bacterial small subunit ribosomal RNA", at positions 28 to 507 of the family's 1533-position model. The record is from RNAcentral.
GAUGAACGCUGGCGGCGUGCCUAAUACAUGCAAGUCGAGCGAACGGACGAGAAGCUUGCUUCUCUGAUGUUAGCGGCGGACGGGUGAGUAACACGUGGAUAACCUACCUAUAAGACUGGGAUAACUUCGGGAAACCGGAGCUAAUACCGGAUAAUAUUUUGAACCGCAUGGUUCAAAAGUGAAAGACGGUCUUGCUGUCACUUAUAGAUGGAUCCGCGCUGCAUUAGCUAGUUGGUAAGGUAACGGCUUACCAAGGCAACGAUGCAUAGCCGACCUGAGAGGGUGAUCGGCCACACUGGAACUGAGACACGGUCCAGACUCCUACGGGAGGCAGCAGUAGGGAAUCUUCAGCAAUGGGCGAAAGCAUGACGGAGCAACGCCGCGUGAGUGAUGAAGGUCUUCGGAUCGUAAAACUCUGUUAUUAGGGAAGAACAUAUGUGUAAGUAACUGUGCACAUCUUGACGGUACCUAAUCAGAAAGCCACGGCUAACUACGUG